Long non-coding RNA from Vicia villosa (hairy vetch), 416 nucleotides. RefSeq lists it as uncharacterized. The record is from RefSeq and is a predicted model, not a curated record. NCBI's taxonomy places the organism in Eukaryota, Viridiplantae, Streptophyta, Magnoliopsida, Fabales, Fabaceae. The transcript is spliced from 2 exons.
UCACUUAAACACCCCACAAUUAUCAUUUCUUUAUAUCUAGGAAAAUGAAGUUCGCACAUGUAUAUGUUUUAGCUUCAUUUUGUAUUGCUUUUGUCGGAAUUGGUGUGACACUAUCAGGAGAAGAUUAUUGGCAAACGAUAUACAUUUACACCAAAAUAAAAGUAUCACACGUAUCAUUUACACCAAAAUAAAAGUAUCACACGUAUCUUUAUUUAGAGACCACAAAUCAACUUGGCGAUUGAGAAUGCAAAUAAUCAUGCACGGAGGACAUGUGCAUCAACUUUUCUACCACCUUGAAUGAAUCAAUAUGACUAGUAGGACAAGUUUUGCAUGCAACUAUAGUUAUGCAUUUAAUGGAUCGUUCAUUUCUCAUGUCUUAAAGUAAACAUGCUCAAUAGCAAGUGUUAUUUAGUUGA